AUUGAACGCUGGCGGCAUGCCUUACACAUGCAAGUCGAACGGCAGCGGACCUUCGGGUGCCGGCGAGUGGCGAACGGGUGAGUAAUAUAUCGGAACGUACCUUUCAGUGGGGGAUAACGUAGCGAAAGUUACGCUAAUACCGCAUAUUCUGUGAGCAGGAAAGCAGGGGAUCGCAAGACCUUGCGCUGAUUGAGCGGCCGAUAUCAGAUUAGCUAGUUGGUGAGGUAAAGGCUCACCAAGGCGACGAUCUGUAGCGGGUCUGAGAGGAUGAUCCGCCACACUGGAACUGAGACACGGUCCAGACUCCUACGGGAGGCAGCAGUGGGGAAUUUUGGACAAUGGGCGCAAGCCUGAUCCAGCCAUGCCGCGUGAGUGAAGAAGGCCUGGUU
RNAcentral lists this ribosomal RNA (389 nucleotides) under uncultured bacterium. RNAcentral describes it as "bacterial SSU rRNA". It matches the Rfam family "Bacterial small subunit ribosomal RNA", at positions 30 to 424 of the family's 1533-position model. The record is from RNAcentral.